UGGAUGUGGACGAAGAUGAGGAGUAUGAUACGAGCAUGUAUCACUUUGGCGAGCAUGUAGCUCCAUCCAGAGAGAGUAAGAGCUUGAGUGAAGCUCACAGAAACCAAAGCCUAUUGCACAAGUAGUGCAAGAAAUAGGAUAAGUUCAUCACCAAAUGCCUAAAGAGUAUCAAGUCUCUGUAGGCUUUGGUAAGCUGCUCCUCUUCCAGCACAGCUAUGCCG
RNAcentral lists this microRNA precursor (221 nucleotides) under Arabidopsis halleri subsp. gemmifera. Its description in RNAcentral is "pre miRNA MIR854". It matches the Rfam family "MIR854 microRNA precursor family". Lineage: Eukaryota; Viridiplantae; Streptophyta; Magnoliopsida; Brassicales; Brassicaceae. The record is from RNAcentral.